CCUACGGGAGGCAGCAGUGAGGAAUAUUGGGCAAUGGAGGCAACUCUGAACCAGCCAUGCCGCGUGCGUGAAGAAGGUUUUCGGGUUUGUAAACUCUUUCGAGUUUGACGUUAAUGACGGUAGCAUCUAAAGAAGCCCCGGCUAACUUCGGACCAGCAGCCGCGGUAAUACGAAGGGGGCAAGCGUUGUUCGGAAUUACUGGGCGUAAAGGGAGGGUAGGCGGUGUAGUAAGAUAGUGGUGAAAUCCCAGGGCUUAACUUUGGAAUUGCCAUUAUAACUAUUAGACUAGAAUGACAGAGAGGAUAGUGGAAUACCCAGUGUAGAGGUGAAAUGCGUAGAUAUUGUGUAGAACACCAGUGGCGAAGGCGAGUAUCUGGCUGUACAUUGACGCUGAGGCUCGAAAGCAUGGGGAUCAAACAGGAUUAGAUACCCGAGUAGUC
Molecule: ribosomal RNA, 440 nt
Filed under: uncultured bacterium
Lineage: Bacteria
Description: partial 16S ribosomal RNA
Rfam family: Bacterial small subunit ribosomal RNA
Source: RNAcentral